CAAUCGAGUGGUUCCUCCUACAAUAAUUUGUGUGCUAACGAGUUUUAGGUUUUAACUGAAAAAUUUCUGAUUUCUGGAAGAAAAAGAGAAUUUAAAUACCACUGACCGACACGCAAACAAAAGAAGACUGGGAAAUUUUAAAAUGUACGCAAACUAGUUGUAGCACUUAUUCUUUAAUCAGUUUAAUCUAUACAUUCGCAUAAAGAAGCAUUGAUACAC
Non-coding RNA from Cinara cedri, 219 nucleotides. NCBI's taxonomy places the organism in Eukaryota, Metazoa, Arthropoda, Insecta, Hemiptera, Aphididae. The record is from the annotation of a GenBank genome assembly.